This 255-nucleotide ribosomal RNA is filed under the name Vibrio parahaemolyticus. RNAcentral's name for it is "partial 23S ribosomal RNA". It matches the Rfam family "Bacterial large subunit ribosomal RNA", at positions 1421 to 1676 of the family's 2925-position model. Lineage: Bacteria; Pseudomonadati; Pseudomonadota; Gammaproteobacteria; Vibrionales; Vibrionaceae. The record is from RNAcentral.
GGAAACGGGUUAAUAUUCCCGUACUUCUUACAAUUGCGAUGGGGGGACGGAGAAGGCUAGGUGGGCCUGGCGACGGUUGUCCAGGUUCAAGUGCGUAGGCUUAAGAGUUAGGUAAAUCCGGCUCUUUUUAAGGCUGAGACACGACGUCGAGCACCUACGGGUGUGAAGUCAUUGAUGCCAUGCUUCCAGGAAAAGCCUCUAAGCUUCAGAUUGUAAGGAAUCGUACCCCAAACCGACACAGGUGGUCGGGUAGAG